AGAGUUUGAUCAUGGCUCAGAAUCAACGCUGGCGGCGCGCCUAACACAUGCAAGUCGCACGAGAAAGCGGGAGCAAUCUCGCAAGUACAGUGGCGUACGGGUGAGUAACACGUGGAUUAUCUGCCCUGGAGUGGGGAAUAACGCUGGGAAACCGGCGCUAAUACCGCAUAUUCCCGAGAGGGGAAAGCAGCAAUGCGCUCGAGGAGGAGUCCGCGGCCGAUUAGCUAGUUGGCAGGGUAAAAGCCUACCAAGGCUGUGAUCGGUAGCCGGCCUGAGAGGGCACACGGCCACACUGGCACUGAAACACGGGCCAGACUCCUACGGGAGGCAGCAGUGGGGAAUCUUGCACAAUGGGGGAAACCCUGAUGCAGCGACGCCGCGUGAGCGAUGAAGCCCUUCGGGGUGUAAAGCUCUUUCGGCAGGGAAGAUUAUGACGGUACCUGCAGAAGCAGCUGCGGCUAACUACGUGCCAGCAGCCGCGGUAAUACGUAGGCAGCAAGCGUUGUUCGGAGUUACUGGGCGUAAAGGGUGUGUAGGCGGCCUGUUAAGUUCCGUGUGAAAUCUCCCGGCUCAACCGGGAGGGUGCGCGGAAAACUGGCGGGCUAGAGUGCGGGAUGGGAGAGUAGAAUUCCUGGUGUAGCGGUGAAAUGCGUAGAUAUCAGGAGGAAUACCGGUGGUGUAGACGGCUCUCUGGACCGCAACUGACGCUGAAACACGAAAGCGUGGGUAGCAAACAGGAUUAGAUACCCUAGUAGUCC
This 758-nucleotide ribosomal RNA is filed under the name uncultured bacterium. RNAcentral's name for it is "bacterial SSU rRNA". It matches the Rfam family "Bacterial small subunit ribosomal RNA", at positions 8 to 796 of the family's 1533-position model. The record is from RNAcentral.